RNAcentral lists this ribosomal RNA (116 nucleotides) under Pteropus alecto (black flying fox). Lineage: Eukaryota; Metazoa; Chordata; Mammalia; Chiroptera; Pteropodidae. The record is from RNAcentral.
GUCUACAGUCAUGCCACUCUGAACAAGCCCAGUGUCUGAUCUAUGAAGCUAAGCAGGGUCGGGCCUGGUUAGUACUUGGCUGAGAGAACACUUAGGAAGACCAGGUGCUUUAGGCA